Molecule: long non-coding RNA, 332 nt
Filed under: Pongo abelii (Sumatran orangutan)
Lineage: Eukaryota; Metazoa; Chordata; Mammalia; Primates; Hominidae
Description: lincRNA
Source: RNAcentral
UGCCGGCCACUGGCGCCGCGUCUGCAAGCCCGUGCACUUAGGGCCUAGCAGUGCUGGGCUUUUUUCCUGGGGCAUCUCUCUCCAUCCGCCCGCCAAGGGCCUGGGGCCCUAGCGAAGAGGACUGGGGAGACUUGGUCGGCCCGCACAAGGGCUGCUCAGGAAAAUGCACCCCUGGGCUUGUGAAAGGGAAGCUACUCUGUGCCCUGCUCCAACUGUCUCAAGAGAACCAGAACAGAGCUGGAGGUGACCAUGAGGCCUGGGCCCCAGGCAUCCCUAAGAGCAGAUGGGGGCUCCCAGACCAGGAACACCCACCCCCACUGCACCACACACAG